RNAcentral lists this ribosomal RNA (380 nucleotides) under uncultured Acidovorax sp. RNAcentral describes it as "bacterial SSU rRNA". It matches the Rfam family "Bacterial small subunit ribosomal RNA", at positions 1002 to 1382 of the family's 1533-position model. The record is from RNAcentral. Lineage: Bacteria; Pseudomonadati; Pseudomonadota; Betaproteobacteria; Burkholderiales; Comamonadaceae.
AGAGAUAGAGGAGUGCUCGAAAGAGAGCCGUAACACAGGUGCUGCAUGGCUGUCGUCAGCUCGUGUCGUGAGAUGUUGGGUUAAGUCCCGCAACGAGCGCAACCCUUGUCAUUAGUUGCUACAUUCAGUUGGGCACUCUAAUGAGACUGCCGGUGACAAACCGGAGGAAGGUGGGGAUGACGUCAAGUCCUCAUGGCCCUUAUAGGUGAGGCUACACACGUCAUACAAUGGAUGGUACAAAGGGUCGCCAACCCGCGAGGGGGAGCCAAUCCCAUAAAGCCAUUCGUAGUCCGGAUCGCAGUCUGCAACUCGACUGCGUGAAGUCGGAAUCGCUAGUAAUCGUGGAUCAGAAUGUCACGGUGAAUACGUUCCCGGGUCUU